UUAAGUUAUUAAGGGCGCAUGGUGGAUGCCUUGGCACUAGGAGCCGAUGAAGGACGUGACUAACUGCGAUAUGCUUCGGGGAGUCGUAAGUAGACUGUGAUCCGGAGAUUUCCGAAUGGGGAAACCCAACAGGUUUUGCCUGUUAUCGCUCAAUGAAUUCAUAGUUGAGCUGAAGGUAGACGCGGGGAACUGAAACAUCUAAGUACCCGCAGGAAGAGAAAGAAAAUUCGAUUCCCUAAGUAGCGGCGAGCGAACGGGGAACAGCCCAAACCAGAGAGCUUGCUCUUUGGGGUUGUAGGACUGGACAUCUGAGUUACCAAGAAAUAACGUAGUCGAAUGAUAUGGGAAGAUCAGCCAGAGAAGGUAACAGCCCUGUAAACGAAACGUUGUUUCCUCAGUCCAGGAUCCUGAGUACGGCGGAACACGUGAAACUCCGUCGGAAUCCGGGAGGACCAUCUCCCAAGGCUAAAUACUCCCUAGUGACCGAUAGUGAACCAGUACCGUGAGGGAAAGGUGAAAAGCACCCCGGGAGGGGAGUGAAAGAGUACCUGAAACCAUGUGCCUACAAGUAGUCAGAGCCCGUUAACGGGUGAUGGCGUGCCUUUUGUAGAAUGAACCGGCGAGUUAUGCUAACGUGCGAGGUUAAGGCGGAAAGGCCGGAGCCGCAGCGAAAGCGAGUCUGAACAGGGCGAACGAGUACGUUGGUGUAAACCCGAAACCAGGUGACCUACCCAUGUCCAGGUUGAAGGUGCGGUAAAACGCACUGGAGGACCGAACCCGUGUAUGUUGAAAAAUGCUGGGAUGAGGUGUGGGUAGCGGUGAAAUUCCAAUCGAACUUGGAGAUAGCUGGUUCUCUCCGAAAUAGCUUUAGGGCUAGCCUCGGAGUUGAGAAUCGUGGAGGUAGAGCACUGUUUGGACUAGGGGCCCGUCUUGGGUUACUGAAUUCAGAUAAACUCCGAAUGCCACUGAUUUAUAUCCGGGAGUCAGACUGCGAGUGAUAAGAUCCGUAGUCGAAAGGGAAACAGCCCAGACCACCGAUUAAGGUCCCUAAAUAUGUGUUAAGUGGAAAAGGAUGUGGAAUUGCACAGACAACUAGGAUGUUGGCUCAGAAGCAGCCACCAUUUAAAGAGUGCGUAAUAGCUCACUAGUCGAGUGAUCCUGCGCCGAAAAUGUAACGGGGCUAAACACAUUACCGAAAUCGUGGAUGCAGCUUUGCUGCAUGGUAGGAGAGCGUUCUAAGGGCGGUGAAGCCGGACCGUAAGGACCGGUGGAGCGCUUAGAAGUGAGAAUGCCGGUAUGAGUAGCGAAAGACAGGUGAGAAUCCUGUCCACCGAAUGACUAAGGUUUCCUGGGGAAGGCUCGUCCUCCCAGGGUUAGUCGGGACCUAAGCUGAGGCCGAGAGGCGUAGGCGAUGGACAACGGGUUGAUAUUCCCGUACCGGUCUGAUUUGUUUGAGCAAUGGAGGGACGCAGGAGGCUAACGAUGCGCACUAUCGGAUGUGCGUCCAAGCAGCAAGUCUGUCGGCGAGUCAAAUGCUUGCCGGCUCAAGGACAAGCUGUGACGGGUAUGAACGAUUUAUCGUUCUAAGUGAGUGACGUCACACUGCCAAGAAAAGCUUCUAGUUAGAAUCAGACCGCCCGUACCGCAAACCGACACAGGUAGUCGGGUCGAGAAGACCAAGGUGAGCGAGAGAACUCUCGUUAAGGAACUCGGCAAAAUGACCCCGUAACUUCGGGAGAAGGGGUGCUGAUCGCAAGAUCAGCCGCAGUGAAUAGGCCCAGGCGACUGUUUAUCAAAAACACAGGUUUCUGCAAAAUCGUAAGAUGAAGUAUAGGGGCUGACGCCUGCCCGGUGCUGGAAGGUUAAGAGGAUGGGUUAGCGCAAGCGAAGCUCAGAAUUGAAGCCCCAGUAAACGGCGGCCGUAACUAUAACGGUCCUAAGGUAGCGAAAUUCCUUGUCGGGUAAGUUCCGACCCGCACGAAAGGCGUAACGAUCUGGGCACUGUCUCAACGAGAGACUCGGUGAAAUUAUAAUACCCGUGAAGAUGCGGGUUACCCGCGACAGGACGGAAAGACCCCAUGGAGCUUUACUGUAGCUUGAUAUUGGGUGUUUGUACAACUUGUACAGGAUAGGUAGGAGCCGUAGAAGUCGGGACGCUAGUUUCGACGGAGGCAUCGGUGGGAUACUACCCUCGUUGUAUGAACACUCUAACCCACGCCGGCAAUCACGGCGGGAGACAGUGUCAGGUGGGCAGUUUGACUGGGGCGGUCGCC
Molecule: ribosomal RNA, 2273 nt
Filed under: human gut metagenome
Description: bacterial LSU rRNA
Rfam family: Bacterial large subunit ribosomal RNA
Source: RNAcentral